This 615-nucleotide ribosomal RNA is filed under the name uncultured Micrococcus sp. RNAcentral describes it as "bacterial SSU rRNA". It matches the Rfam family "Bacterial small subunit ribosomal RNA", at positions 129 to 758 of the family's 1533-position model. The record is from RNAcentral. Lineage: Bacteria; Bacillati; Actinomycetota; Actinomycetes; Micrococcales; Micrococcaceae.
CCCUUAACUCUGGGAUAAGCCUGGGAAACUGGGUCUAAUACCGGAUAGGAGCGUCCACCGCAUGGUGGGUGUUGGAAAGAUUUAUCGGUUUUGGAUGGACUCGCGGCCUAUCAGCUUGUUGGUGAGGUAAUGGCUCACCAAGGCGACGACGGGUAGCCGGCCUGAGAGGGUGACCGGCCACACUGGGACUGAGACACGGCCCAGACUCCUACGGGAGGCAGCAGUGGGGAAUAUUGCACAAUGGGCGAAAGCCUGAUGCAGCGACGCCGCGUGAGGGAUGACGGCCUUCGGGUUGUAAACCUCUUUCAGUAGGGAAGAAGCGAAAGUGACGGUACCUGCAGAAGAAGCACCGGCUAACUACGUGCCAGCAGCCGCGGUAAUACGUAGGGUGCGAGCGUUAUCCGGAAUUAUUGGGCGUAAAGAGCUCGUAGGCGGUUUGUCGCGUCUGUCGUGAAAGUCCGGGGCUUAACCCCGGAUCUGCGGUGGGUACGGGCAGACUAGAGUGCAGUAGGGGAGACUGGAAUUCCUGGUGUAGCGGUGGAAUGCGCAGAUAUCAGGAGGAACACCGAUGGCGAAGGCAGGUCUCUGGGCUGUAACUGACGCUGAGGAGCGAAA